RNAcentral lists this ribosomal RNA (448 nucleotides) under uncultured Planctomycetota bacterium. RNAcentral's name for it is "bacterial SSU rRNA". It matches the Rfam family "Bacterial small subunit ribosomal RNA", at positions 217 to 656 of the family's 1533-position model. The record is from RNAcentral. Lineage: Bacteria; Pseudomonadati; Planctomycetota.
GCUUAGAGAGGGGUCAAUGUCCUAUCAGCUAGUUGGUAAGGUAAUGGCUUACCAAGGCUAAGACGGGUAGCCGGCCUGAGAGGGUGGUCGGCCACACUGGGACUGAGACACUGCCCAGACUCCUACGGGAGGCUGCAGUCGAGAAUCUUUCGCAAUGCCCGAAAGGGUGACGAAGCGACGCCGCGUGUGGGAAGAAGGCCUUCGGGUUGUAAACCACUGUCGGGAGUUAAGAAAUGUAAGGGUGUUAAUAGCAUCCUUGCUUGACUAAGGCUCCGGAGGAAGCCACGGCUAACUCUGUGCCAGCAGCCGCGGUAAUACAGAGGCGGCAAGCGUUGUUCGGAAUUAUUGGGCGUAAAGAGCACGUAGGCGGCUUUGUAAGUCAGUUGUGAAAGCCUUCUGCUUAACGGAAGAACAGCAUCUGAUACUGCAAGGCUAGAGUACGGAAGGG